UACGAAGGGGGCUAGCGUUGUUCGGAAUCACUGGGCGUAAAGGGCGCGUAGGCGGCCGAUCAAGUCGGGGGUGAAAGCCUGUGACUCAACCACAGAAUUGCCUUCGAUACUGUUUGGCUUGAGACCGGAAGAGGUUAGUGGAACUGCGAGUGUAGAGGUGAAAUUCGUAGAUAUUCGCAAGAACACCAGUGGCGAAGGCGGCUGACUGGUCCGGUUCUGACGCUGAGGCGCGAAAGCGUGGGGAGCAAACAGG
Molecule: ribosomal RNA, 253 nt
Filed under: uncultured bacterium
Lineage: Bacteria
Description: partial 16S ribosomal RNA
Rfam family: Bacterial small subunit ribosomal RNA
Source: RNAcentral